Long non-coding RNA from Ixodes scapularis (black-legged tick), 3615 nucleotides. RefSeq lists it as uncharacterized. NCBI's taxonomy places the organism in Eukaryota, Metazoa, Arthropoda, Arachnida, Ixodida, Ixodidae. The record is from RefSeq and is a predicted model, not a curated record. The transcript is spliced from 2 exons.
GACACCGUCCACAUGGUCCUCCUCUGAACCAGUUGGAGCUUGUACUUCUACGCCUCCUCUGCGCAGUUCUGCGCCGAGACCUAAGGACAUCAUAAGGCGUCUCCAGGCCAAGGUUUCAAAGUACCGGAAGACCAUCGCAAGGCUGCGCAAGCAAGAGAAGAAUAUGCCUCGAUCGGCUGCGGAAGCUCUCAACAUCAUUCGCCCUCACGUGACAGACGAGGUAUUUCACCUACUGUCAAGCCAUGUUAAAUUGAAAUCCAAGGGCAAGGGAAAACGAUUCCCGUUAUGGUUGAAAAAGUUUUCUCUUCAUCUCAACUUCCGUGGGCCGCGGGCAUACCGUUUUUUGUCUCGUUAUCUCACUCUUCCUACUCAGCGCACACUAAGAAGAUGGCUGUCGGAUGUCAAAAUGACACCUGGAAUUAUACCAGGCAUUAUGUCAUCCAUUUUUACAAAAACACAAUCAUGGAGUAAGCGCGAUCGCGUCUGCACUCUCAUCUUCGAUGAGAUAGUGUUAAAAAAAAACUUGUCAUAUGACGUGUCACAAGAUGUUGUUCAUGGAUUUACGGAUGAUGGCUACGAACGAACCUCAACGAUUGCCGACAGAGCCCUGGUUAUCCUUCUUUCCGGAGUUUCCCAGAGAUGGGUUCAACCAGUCGCUUAUACAAUUGGGCACACGUCCACGCCAUCUACCGUAAUCCGGAACUUGUUGAUCUCGCUCACUGAGCAGUUGCAAGACAUUGGAAUUACAGUUAAAGCUGUAAUUUGUGACCAAGGGGCUUCCAAUGUAAGCUUAGCAAACCAGCUUGGUGUCACUGUGGCGCAGCCCUUUUUUUUUCGUAAAACGUGAACGCGUUUACUUCAUUUACGACGUUCCCCAUUUAGUGAAAACAACUCGGAACAACCUGCAGGCCCACAGGCUUCAUAUCGAAAAUGAGAUUGUAGACUGGGCAGAUAUUGUGAAACUGUACCACUCCACACAUGAGAUGCGACUGCGGUUGGCGCCAAAGUUGACUGAAAGACAUAUCUACCAGAAACCUUUCAGUAAUAUGAAGGUUAAGCGGGCGACCCAGGUAUUGAGUGCUUGAGUGUGCGUCGCGCUUUUAGCUCUUGUCUAUGCGAAACAGCUGCCUGAAGCAGCCAUGUCAACUGCUUAUUUUUGUGACCGCAUGGACAAGCUGUUUGAUUGCUUGAAUAGCUCCAGUCCAAAGAAAACGGAGCAAAAGUUGCGCCAUGCUAUUCGAAAAGGGCAGCCGGAUUUAGUUGAAUUUCUCGGAAAACAGCUUCCACGGAUUGCGUCUUGGAAGUUCGAAGGCAAACGUCAGCCACACACUAUCAUCGGGUGGCAAAUUACGAUCAAAGCCGUCUUGCUGCUGUGGGAAGAUGUUUCCCAGAAUUACGACUUUGAGUUUCUCCUCACGCGUCGACUUCAACAAGACCCACUUGAACAGAUGUUUGGACACAUAAGACAAAAGCAGGGACGCAACUCGAAUCCCAAUCUGCCUCAGUUCAUAUCUGGCCUGAAACACAUUGGGAUUCAGAAGCCCCUCACACUGUCACAGAAGGGAAAUGUCGAGGAGGAUGAGACGGACCUCCUCCAGGAGUUGUCCCCAUUUUCACUUAGUAGCGAGUCACUCGUGGAUGUUGUGCAGCAUGUCCCACAGGACGACUUUCCAUCUUUGGAAAACAUCACUGAGUUGGCAGCCCAUGAGGAGUCCCAUGUUAUUGACAACUCUGCUACUUAUUAUGUUGCUGGCUUCAUUGUUAAAAUGUUUACUGAGAAGGCUGCAGAAGGUUGUUGUUGUCCUGACUUGCUUAGAGAUGAGCACAGUAACCUUGAUGAGCCACAUCAGUUUUUUAUGAUGCUGAAAGCGUACCACGUCCCAGGCAAGCUCUUCGGCAACUUGACUGUGCCAUCAAGCGCAGCUUUCACACUUGUUCAGCAGCUCGAGUCAAUCUUUCUUUCUGUUAUCGAAAGUGUAGCGCACCUCCGAAGUGUUUGUGAAACAUUGUACAUAACUCUCUCGCGUGUUGGUGAUUUUAAUUUUUGCACUCCAGAGUGUCAUGCACGGUUUUUAAAAAUGUUUUGCCGAAUUCGAUUGUGCUGGCAUGUCCGUUUUGUAAAUAGAAACUUGGAUAAAGUUCGCUUCCAUUCUCGCGUCUCUGGUGUACAGCUUGAAAAGUUCAGUGGGUAGAAGAUGAUGUUUCAGCCUUUAUAUUGCAUCUCAUAAGAUAUCUGCAACAGUAAAAUUAAUUUUAUUGGAAUUUUAUUGGGCCGUGCAGACUGCACACUAGCCAUUUGUUGGGAUUAUUUGCAGUCAGUAGGUUGCACUCUACUGGUCUAUUGUAAUGACUGCUUUUUUAGAUGGUCAUGUCUGUUUUUUUCCUAUUGUGGUCAUGUGGAAUGUGUAAGUUCCCAUAUUGAUCUUUGUUAAUACUCUCUUAGGUCACUCAUCUCGGAUGCAACUUUCUUUUCUUUUGGACACUGUUUCUGCUUUACACAUAUGUGGAGCGUGAAGGAGAUUGCGAUCAGGGGUGUCCACCAACCUGGCAAGCCUGAAAUGCUCAGGGAAUUUUGGAUCACCUGGAAAAGUCAGGGAAUUAUCAGGGAAACUGUCAAAAGGUUGGCUAAAUCAGGGAAAGUGACGAGUAAAAGUGGCACGGUGGUGCGGAGCGAAGCCCGGCGAUCAGAUGUCGUCACGGUUCUGCUGAAUAACAUUGCCCGAAAUGUCAUCCUUCGAAGGAAGGAACAGCCAGGAAAUUUUAUCAAAAUAGUCAAGGGAAACCUGGAAAAAUCAUGGACUUUGGAAAAGUCAUUGGGUAGACACUUUGUAAGAUGUACCUAAUUAGGCAGUGCAGAUUGCAUGCCAAGCCUUGGUGGAAUCAUUUGUGAUGAGUGGGUCGCAGGUACACCGGGCACCAGUCUGAUUUAGCAGUCUUUUGUCAGCCAUUUCAUGUGCGCUUGUUAUGGUAGUGGUCAUGGUAAACCUUACAUCUUAAAUGUGACAUGUUAAACGUGACAUUAACGUAAAACCUGUAUUAGACCGUCGGUUGGCUUUCAGUUCUUGUUAUUUUGGUCAUUAUUGUUACUUAAAUCAGCAGGAGCAAGGUAUUUUUAAUUCUGUAGUUCAGGCUGUGUUAGGGUUAUUUAAUGACUACGUCACAGACUAAGAAGGUCUAUACUAGUGGCAAUCUUGUUUAGGCAUUUACUUGUCUGUUUUUCUCAUUGUGGUCAUCGUGCAUUUCAGAUUUCUUCUGCUGAGCGUUUUAUUUGCAUACAAAUUGCAUUGGAUCAACGAGCUUUGAUACUGCAUGGCCAGUUUUUUUUUUAGUAUGUGUUGCUGAUGCUGCAUAUGUUAUGUGUGUGGUGCACCUUCCAUGGAACAUGCUUGAGAACACAAAACAGGCUUGCAAUCCAAUUGCAGUUGUAACAUUGUAAUUCCAGUUGUUUGAUAAGAUUUUCAUGCAUGCCAUAAUAUGCUUGUCAUUUUUUUGUAGGAUGUAUUGUUUGUGAAUCCUUGAUGCACGGUGCUUAUGUUUUGUAGUUUUGGUAAUUAUAUACGAGGCACAAACUGCCCACCAUAUUUUUGUUGCGAAAAUAAACUGUGUUGAUUACUC